UCCGAACUGGUGUAGUGGUUAACAUCGUCCGCUUUCAUUCUCUCUACCUUCCCUCGUGGAAAUCGCGAAAAUGCUUGUUCCGGACAGCCCGGGGUUCGAUUCCCCGGUUCGGAA
Molecule: transfer RNA, 114 nt
Filed under: Ramalina farinacea
Lineage: Eukaryota; Fungi; Ascomycota; Lecanoromycetes; Lecanorales; Ramalinaceae
Description: tRNA-Glu
Source: RNAcentral